UCCUGCACAGAAGCAAUCAUUUAAGGAAGAGGAAAUUAAGCCACAGAUUGCUGUGUCCAAAUCUACAGUCUAUAUAAAGAAAUAACACUUACUGUUUGGAAAAGAAAAGAAUCUCGAAGAGCAGGACUGAUCUGCUCCAACAUCCCACAACGCUAAGAAAUGUUAUGCAUUGCAUUUAUCAAGUCCCAAAAAAGUCCGGCCAAAACUGUAGCUGGGCCUGACACGGGGCCCUGAAGAUGGAGAGACUGCUGCUCCCAAGAAAGGACAGCAGCUCAGACUCCAACCCAGAAGAGAGAGCAGCAACUGGGGAGAAAGGAGCAGCUGCUGACCCACCCAUCAUCAAAUGCAGAGCGCCACAAAAGCUUUGCUCAUCACAAUGCUGGUGGAGACAAACAGAGGAUAUCCUGUCCAAGGAGA
Long non-coding RNA from Anolis sagrei ordinatus, 417 nucleotides. RefSeq lists it as uncharacterized. The record is from RefSeq and is a predicted model, not a curated record. Lineage: Eukaryota; Metazoa; Chordata; Lepidosauria; Squamata; Anolidae.